AUUGAACGCUGGCGGCAGGCCUAACACAUGCAAGUCGAGCGGAUGAAGGGAGCUUGCUCCUGGAUUCAGCGGCGGACGGGUGAGUAAUGCCUAGGAAUCUGCCUGGUAGUGGGGGAUAACGUCCGGAAACGGGCGCUAAUACCGCAUACGUCCUGAGGGAGAAAGUGGGGGAUCUUCGGAACUCACGCUAUCAGAUGAGCCUAGGUCGGAUUAGCUAGUUGGUGGGGUAAAGGCCUACCAAGGCGACGAUCCGUAACUGGUCUGAGAGGAUGAUCAGUCACACUGGAACUGAGACACGGUCCAGACUCCUACGGGAGGCAGCAGUGGGGAAUAUUGGACAAAGGGCGAAAGCCUGAUCCAGCCAUGCCGCGUGUGUGAAGAAGGUCUUCGGAUUGUAAAGCACUUUAAGUUGGGAGGAAGGGCAGUAAGUUAAUACCUUGCUGUUUUGACGUUACCAACAGAAUAAGCACCGGCUAACUUCGUG
This 484-nucleotide ribosomal RNA is filed under the name uncultured bacterium. Its description in RNAcentral is "partial 16S ribosomal RNA". It matches the Rfam family "Bacterial small subunit ribosomal RNA", at positions 30 to 507 of the family's 1533-position model. The record is from RNAcentral.